AAUAACAUAGUUUAUAGUUUUAUUAUAGAUGUAAUCUGGUCAAUGGAAAUUUUUUAAAUUCAAGCCUUAGCGUGAGGGUAAUAAUGUAGCAUAAUAAUUUGAUACUUAAUUAGUGUCUGGUAUGAAUGUUUAAACGAUUAUAAAAUUGUCUCAAAAUUGUAUUAAAAAUUAAUAUAAAAGUUAAGAUUCUUUUUAAAAAUUAUAAGACAAGAAGACCCCAUAAACCUUUACUAAAAAAUUUUAUUAUAAAUUUUUACUAGUUUAACUGGGGCAGUUAUCUUUUAAAAUAAAUAAGAUAAAAUAUGUUUACUUAAUAAAGUUAACAAAAUAUUUAUAUUAAAGAUCUUUUUAAUAGAACUUUUAUUAAUAAAUUUAUAGAUAAAAGGUACUUUGGGGAUAACAGCGUAAUUUAAAUAAAAAGUUGAAAUUAAAAUUUAAGUUUGCGACCUCGAUGUUGAAUUUAGAUAUCCUAUAGCUGUAAAAGGUUAUAAUGGUUAGAUUGUUCAUCUAUUAAAAUCUUACAUGAUUUGAGUUCAUU
RNAcentral lists this ribosomal RNA (538 nucleotides) under Halammohydra adherens. RNAcentral describes it as "partial large subunit ribosomal RNA". The stretch from base 206 to 538 matches the Rfam family "Bacterial large subunit ribosomal RNA", at positions 2079 to 2615 of the family's 2925-position model. Lineage: Eukaryota; Metazoa; Cnidaria; Hydrozoa; Actinulida; Halammohydridae. The record is from RNAcentral.